RNAcentral lists this ribosomal RNA (248 nucleotides) under uncultured Eubacterium sp. RNAcentral describes it as "partial 16S ribosomal RNA". It matches the Rfam family "Bacterial small subunit ribosomal RNA", at positions 524 to 771 of the family's 1533-position model. The record is from RNAcentral. Lineage: Bacteria; Bacillati; Bacillota; Clostridia; Eubacteriales; Eubacteriaceae.
UACGUAUGGUGCAAGCGUUAUCCGGAUUUACUGGGUGUAAAGGGUGCGUAGGUGGCAUGGCAAGUCAGAAGUGAAAGGCCGGGGCUCAACCCCGGGACUGCUUUUGAAACUGUCAGGCUGGAGUGAAGUAGAGGUUGGCGGAAUUCCGAGUGUAGCGGUGAAAUGCGUAGAUAUUCGGAGGAACACCGGUGGCGAAGGCGGCCUGCCGGCUCCACACUGACGCUGAGGCACGAAAGCGUGGGUAUCGA